This is a long non-coding RNA of Xiphias gladius (swordfish), 719 nucleotides long. RefSeq lists it as uncharacterized. The record is from RefSeq and is a predicted model, not a curated record. The transcript has 4 exons. NCBI's taxonomy places the organism in Eukaryota, Metazoa, Chordata, Actinopteri, Istiophoriformes, Xiphiidae.
GGAUGUGGUUUGGUCUUUGGCUGAUCCGUCACGAAGAUGAGAUCAUGAUUUUUCUGUAUCAGAACUGGAUCAAUAUCUGAUGUUUUUUUUUCUCACGUCUCUUCGCUUUCCACAGGUGCAAACACCACUUCAAGCGUCCUUGAAGCCGCCAAGCAGGCAUCAGGUGCAGGUUACUGCUUGCAUCUGGUUGUAUGUCUCCCUGUGAUUUUUUUGCUGUUGGUUUUUGUUCUGCUGCUAUUCUACAAAGUGAAGAAAAGGACGAACUCUGAUGGCUUGAACACGAGGGAAAACGUGGACGACCGAAGCACGAAGAUUUCCCACUAUGAGAACUGGCCUCUGGUCUACAGGUGUGAAGACCCCAUCUACCAGAGCCUCAGUCCGGCCAGCAGGGAUCAGGACCAAACCUACGCUACGCUCACACACUCAAAACAGACAUGAGAGUGUUUGGACUUUUACUCGUUUAACCAGUAUAUUCUAAGUUAGUAUGGAGCCACUUAUUCCCCAAGCUUUCUCAGAUGCGUGCCUUCUUAAAUUCUACUCCUUAGGGAGCUUGAUGAAACAUUCAGUGAAAGAGUCUGUGAAAAUGUGUUUCGUGUGAGGUGGAAUUACACGUGUAUAGUGUAUGUACUGUGUAUUCUGAUCCACCUAGAAAAGGCUCCACCUCAACCUCUCUCGCUCUCUCUCAGUCAGCAGACUCUCCCCGAGCGGAGUCUCCCCAC